AAGCCAGUUGUUAAUCUGCUUACCUGAAUGUGUUUGUGCAGAAACUUAGAAAAAGAUGGCAAUAGUAAUGCCAUGAUAAGAGCCUUGAGGACAAUCACAGUCAUUAACAACCCUGAAAAUGGCUACAACA
This 130-nucleotide small nucleolar RNA is filed under the name Castor canadensis (American beaver). Its description in RNAcentral is "Small nucleolar RNA SNORA33 (ENSCCNG00000021941.1)". It matches the Rfam family "Small nucleolar RNA SNORA33". From Rfam's summary of the family: ACA33 is a member of the H/ACA class of snoRNA that guide the sites of modification of uridines to pseudouridines. Lineage: Eukaryota; Metazoa; Chordata; Mammalia; Rodentia; Castoridae. The record is from Rfam by way of RNAcentral.